Molecule: ribosomal RNA, 823 nt
Filed under: Steinernema carpocapsae
Lineage: Eukaryota; Metazoa; Nematoda; Chromadorea; Rhabditida; Steinernematidae
Description: SSU rRNA
Rfam family: Eukaryotic small subunit ribosomal RNA
Source: RNAcentral
AACCGCGAACGGCUCAUUACAACAGCGAUAAUUGACUAAACGAUGUUAAUCCUUUAAAUGGAUAACUGUGGUAAUUCUAGAGCUAAUACAUGGUUUGUAACAAAACGUUUAUCGGUUUGUUCAUUUAUUAGAUCAAAACCAAGCGACUCCGGUCGUUUAUGUUGGUGACUCUUAGUAACUUUGUUAAUCGCAUGGACUUGUUCCGGCGAUACGUUUAUCAAGUUUCUGCCCUAUCAACUUUUGAUGGUUGUGUAUUUGACAACCAUGGUGGUGACGGGUAACGGAGAAUUAGGGUUUGACUCCGGAGAGGGAGCCUGAGAAACGGCUACCACAUCCAAGGAAGGCAGCAGGCGCGAAAAUUACCCACUCUCAGUUCGAGGAGGUAGUGACGAAAAAUAACAAGACUGGUCGCUUUGCGAACAGUUAUUGGAAUGGGUACAAUUUAAACUCUUUAACGAGGACCUAUGAGAGGGCAAGUCUGGUGCCAGCAGCCGCGGUAAUUCCAGCUCUCAAAAUGUACUUAACCAUUGUUGCGGUUAAAAAGCUCGUAGUUGGAUCUUUGCGUCGUAGUAUGGUUCGUUCUUUGAACGCUACUAUGCUGUGAUGCUCUUAUUUGCAGGUUUUCGGCUAGUGUUCUUAACGGGAUGUUAGUUGUGGCUUGCGAGUUUACUUUGAAUUAAUUAGAGUGCUUAAAACAGGCGUUUUGCUUGAAUAUUCUAGCAUGGAAUAAUGGAAUAGGAUUUCGGUUCGAUUUUAUUGGUUUUAUGGAGCGAAAUAAUGAUUAGUAGGAAUAAACGGGGGCAUUCGUAUUGUUACGUUAGAG